This 252-nucleotide ribosomal RNA is filed under the name uncultured bacterium. RNAcentral describes it as "partial 16S ribosomal RNA". It matches the Rfam family "Bacterial small subunit ribosomal RNA", at positions 524 to 776 of the family's 1533-position model. The record is from RNAcentral.
UACAGGGGGUGCUAGCGUUGUUCGGAAUUACUGGGCGUAAAGGGCGCGUAGGUGGCCCUGUAAGUCAGGAGUGAAAUCCCGGAGCUUAACUCCGGAAUUGCUUUGAAACUACAGGGCUAGAGUAUGUUAGAGGAUGGCGGAAUUCCUAGUGUAGAAGUGAAAUUCGUAGAUAUUAGGAAGAACACCGGUGGCGAAGGCGGCCAUCUGGGACAUAACUGACACUGAGGCGCGAAAGCGUGGGGAUCAAACAGG